RNAcentral lists this ribosomal RNA (466 nucleotides) under uncultured Acinetobacter sp. RNAcentral's name for it is "bacterial SSU rRNA". It matches the Rfam family "Bacterial small subunit ribosomal RNA", at positions 338 to 795 of the family's 1533-position model. Lineage: Bacteria; Pseudomonadati; Pseudomonadota; Gammaproteobacteria; Moraxellales; Moraxellaceae. The record is from RNAcentral.
CCUACGGGCGGCUGCAGUGGGGAAUAUUGGACAAUGGGGGGAACCCUGAUCCAGCCAUGCCGCGUGUGUGAAGAAGGCCUUUUGGUUGUAAAGCACUUUAAGUGGGGAGGAGGCUUACCUGGUUAAUACCUGGGCUAAGUGGACGUUACCCACAGAAUAAGCACCGGCUAACUCUGUGCCAGCAGCCGCGGUAAUACAGAGGGUGCGAGCGUUAAUCGGAUUUACUGGGCGUAAAGCGCGCGUAGGUGGUUAAUUAAGUCAAAUGUGAAAUCCCCGAGCUUAACUUGGGAAUUGCAUUCGAUACUGGUUAGCUAGAGUAUGGGAGAGGAUGGUAGAAUUCCAGGUGUAGCGGUGAAAUGCGUAGAGAUCUGGAGGAAUACCGAUGGCGAAGGCAGCCAUCUGGCCUAAUACUGACACUGAGGUGCGAAAGCAUGGGGAGCAAACAGGAUUAGAUACCCCGGUAGUC